Molecule: long non-coding RNA, 3877 nt
Filed under: Homo sapiens (human)
Lineage: Eukaryota; Metazoa; Chordata; Mammalia; Primates; Hominidae
Description: HSALNT0267638
Source: RNAcentral
CACAGGUGCCUCCAGGCCACAGAGCAGGACAGACAGGGUUGGAGAUUGGACCACUCGUGUGUGGAUGAGAGCCCCUACUGUGUGCAAAGAAAUGAACUGAGCUCUCUGGCCUCACACCCUAAGCCCAACCCUGAUCCACUAAGCACUGGCAGCUUCAGGCCCACCACUGCUGGCCUCCCAUCUCUUUCUCCAAGCAACGGUGCCUGUGUGUUGAGCACUUCCAGACAAACACGCCUGCCAUGAUGGACCACAUUUCUGUGCAGAUGCUGAGUACACACCGUCUCCCACUCCCACGGCUGCUUUGCAAGGACAGUGUUAAUGAUCCUCACUUUGUAAACAAGGAAAACUGAAGCUCAGAAAGGAGGGAUGGAGGGCGGUAAGGUUGGGCAUCCUACACAUAUGGUGAUAUCAUUGAACAUUUUGUGUUGAAGAAUGAUGGAGUGUUGAACACAGAAUCAGAGAAUUUUACUUUAUUUUAUUUUUUGAGAAGGAGUCUCAAUCUGUCAACCAGGCUGGAGUGCAGUGGCGCGAUCUCGGCUCAGGGCAACUUCCACCUCCUGGGUUCAAGGGAUCCUCCUGCCUCAGCCUCCCGAGUCGCAGGGAUCACAGGCAUGUACUACCAGGCCCGGCUAAUUGUUUUGUGUUUUUGGUGGAGACGGGGUUUCACAAUGUUGGCCAGGCUGGUCUCAAACUCCUGACCUCAAGUGAUCUGCCCACCUUGGCCUCGCAAAGUACUGGGAUUACAGGCAUGAGCCACUGUGCCUGGCCAAGAAUUUUAGAAUCAUAAAAUCUAGGAGUCCUGGGCUCCUAGGUUACCAGUAUAACCCACACUGCCACCAACUCCCUGUCCAUUCCCCACACUGUAAAUGAAAUGUCUCUCUGGGGCCCACCUCCCAUUCACUCAGGCCUCUUCUCUCACCUGGGAUCUUGUUCCAGACUUGUCUCUUGUCUCUCCUCCUUCCAAACCCGUACACAGGAGCCAGAGGCAUCUUUCCAAACUACCAAGCAGAUUGUGCCACUCUGCUGCCCCUUAAAACCCUUCCCUGGCUCCCCUUUGCCCUCAGGAUAAAGUUCAAACUCCUUGACAUGGUUUACUAGGUUCUCAGUCAUCUGGCCACAGUCUGGCCACUCUGCCUUCUACCGCCCCCCACCCCCAACUCUAUACCAACCCAUACAGAACUUGUUUUGCUUCACCAGAUGUGCUGGAUGCUGGCUCUCUCCCCUGACCCCUGGACCUUUGCACUGGCUGUUCCCGCUACCUGGAACACAGUCUACAACACCACCUCCUUCUCUGGUUGAAGUCCUCUCUCUUCCUGUUUGCUCUGAGGACAGUUUCUGCUCACAUCCCUCCUGAAUAUCUGGGUUGGUGUUCCUUCAUUUACCACAGUCCCCACCCCAGCUGCUGUGCUUACCAUGUGACAGAGAUCACUACAUCAUGUGUGCCCGUGUGUUUGCCUGUGUCCCCAUCCACUCAUGAGCCACAGGAGGGCAGAUAUCGGGAUCAUCUUUUCUCUACUGAAUCCCUAGCACCCAGCACUGUGCCUGGCAGAGAAGAGUUGUUCAGCCAAGAUAUAUGUUGAUAAAUGAAUCAUAAGAUGUUAGAAUCACAAGCUUUUAGAGCCAUGGACUUGGUGAAACAGAAGCCUAAAGUCUCAGAAUUAUAUAAUCCUAGACUUAGCAUUAAUUAUACACAGAAACUGAGAAUCUCCGAAUCUUAGGAUCUCAAGGUUGAAAGAAUUCUUAUAUAGGCAUCUUGUCCAAGGACUAUCAGUGGAUUAGGAAAAUUUUAAUUGUGCCCUUCUAUAUUAUUUAAUGUAUAUUUUUACAUUUAUUUAUAUAAAAACUAUAAUACAUUUGUCUUUCAAACAUUUAUUUUAUUUUAAUAAAAGUUUAGUUGGCGCCUAUUGAGUGAGAAUGCACUCACCGCAGCGGCCCCAAACAUUUAUUUUUAUAAUGUGUCCUUCUAUAUUUAUUAAGCACUUAUUUAUUAACCAAUAUUAAUUAGCCUAUUUAUUCUGUGACCAGACACUGUGCUAGGCAACUAUGUGAGUCAUCUAUGUCUGCAUAACUAAUUACUAAUUACCUUAAUUUUAAAACAACAAACAUGUAUUAUAUCAUAGUUUCUGUGUGGUAGGACUUCAGAAAUGGCUUGGCUGGAUGGUUCUGGCUUAGAUCUCUCAUGAGGUUGUAGUCAAAAUACCAGCUGGGACAGUGAUCCCCUGAAAGCUUGACUGGGGCUUGAGAAUCCACUUUCAAUUUGGCUCACUUGCAUGGCUGGCAGUUGGCAGGAGGCCUCAAUUCCUCCCAUGUGGACCUUGCCAUAGGAUUGCUUGAGUGUCCUUACAGCAUGGCUGCUGGCAUCCCCAGAGCAAGGGAUUCAAGGUGGCAAGAUGAAAUCCACAAUGCCUCUUAUCAUCUAGCCUCAAAAGUCACACUCCAUCUUUUUCACAAUAUCCUAGUGAUUACACAGACAACGCUACUCAGUUUGGGAGGGGAGUAAAUAAUGGUGGGAAUACCAGGAAAUGGGGAUCACUGGGGGACAUCUUGGAGGCUGGCUACCACAGCAGCAUUGAAUGAGACUAGAGUCUCUGCUCUUAUGGAGUUAACAGUCUAGAGAGGGAAGGAUAGAGGAAGACAAUCAAACAAGACAAUUAGUUAGAGCUGGAGUAAGCAAACUACAUUCAUAGGCCAAAUCCAGCCUACUGCCUACUUUUGUAAAUAAAGUUCAUUGAACUCAGCCACACCCAUUCACUUACAUAUUGCUUAUGGCUGUUUUACGCUGUAAGAGCAGACUUAAGUAGUUGCAGCAGGGACUGUAUAUCCUGCAAAGCCUCGUGUAUUUAGCCAAGUGAUCAGGGAAGGCCUCUCCAAGAGGCAACGUUUGAGUAGGGACCUGAAUGUUUAGAAGGAAGUGGCCAUGAGAAGAGCUGAGGACAGAAUGUUCCAGAUAAAGGGAACAUUAGGGUAAAGGCUGUGAAAUGGGAACAGCUUUAGUGUGUUGAGGAACAGGGAGGAGCCCAAGGGGGCUGGAAUGGAGUGACCAUGGGGAGAUGAUCUCAUAGGCGUGAUCAGGAACCAGGUUCUGUAGGACCUUGGGGCCCUGGUGAAGAAUUUAAAAUUGUUCCAAGAAUGAUGGGAAGCCAUUGGAGGGUUUUAAGCAGAGAGAGGUAGGAUCUGAUGGGGAUGGUAGAGAUGCCUGGUGUAGUUUGGCCCCAUUCUUUGAGCAAGAUGGUGCCUCUACUGGCCCCCUAGAGUGCAGCUGUCCCGGAACCUGUUAGUGUUGACAAGAGUCAGGUGAAGACCUUUGGCAUCAUCCCACAAUUACAUGUUCAGGUCUUACCAAUCCUUCUGAUCUGGAAGUCCUUUCUUUUGACUCACUCUGAGUCCCUUGCUGUCCCUUGCCAGCCUGCCUCUUCUGGAUCUAAGAAAUCUGUGAAGUUGGAAAGAACACUGCAUUUUGAGCCCUGGGUUCCAGACCGUGCCCUUCCCUGACUUGCCUGCAACAGUCCAGCAGCCUCUCUGUGUCUCAGUUUCCUUGUCUGUAAAAUGAAGGGAGAGUCCAGUCUGCCUGGCCCAAGACCAGGUGAUUAAAUGUCCUAGGAAGAGCAUGAAGGGCGUGUGGCAGCAUGGGUUGGGAUGGACUUGGCCAGACUGGGGUUGCUGAGGUGAGCAGUGGGAAGUAGGGGUGGUUGGUACAUUGGGAAGAAGGCUUCCGGCUAACCCUCCUCAGCUAGAGUUUUUUGGUUUUUUUUUCUUGAGAUGGAGUCUUGCUCUGUCUCCCAGGCUGUAGUGCAGUGGCGUGAUCUUGGCUCACUGCAACCUCUGCCUUAGCCUCCGGUUCAAGUGAUCCUCCUGCCUUAGCCUCCGGAGUAGCUGG